GGCUUGGCAACUAAAGAUACCAGCCCUUCUCAUCCCAGCCUUGUCAACACCCUCACCACAAAGCCGUAGCAACUUUUUAAGAGGACUGUGAUCUGGAAGAGCAAAAAGAUAGUUUUGGUCCAUGAAGCUCUCUGUUUUCCUCACCACCUGGGAAGUUCCUGCUGCCUCCAUGGAUGAUAUUGACACACACGUUUGUGACUCAAGACUUCUUAUCUUGGCUUUGGUUCUGUCUCCUGAGCUCCAGGAGACAGCUCAGAUGCCUCUCUAUUAGACAGCUCUACCUGGAUAUUUUACAGAUACCUGGAACUCGACAUGUGCCAAACUGAACAGCUUUUCUUCCUCACCAAACCUGCUCCUCCACCAGCAUUUCCAAUCAAAUAAAAGCAGGUGAAAUUGCCUAAGCCCCAAACCUAGGCGUCUUCCUCCACACACCCAUAUCAACUCUCAUUUGC
Long non-coding RNA from Bos taurus (domestic cattle), 452 nucleotides. NCBI's taxonomy places the organism in Eukaryota, Metazoa, Chordata, Mammalia, Artiodactyla, Bovidae. The record is from Ensembl.